GACGAACGCUGGCGGCGUGCUUAACACAUGCAAGUCGAACGGAAAGGCCCUGCUUUUGUGGGGUGCUCGAGGGGCGAACGGGUGAGUAACACGUGAGUAACCUGCCCUUGACUUUGGGAUAACUUCAGGAAACUGGGGCUAAUACCGGAUAGGAGCUCGUGCUGCAUGGUGGGGGUUGGAAAGUUUCGGCGGUUGGCGAUGGACUCGCGGCUUAUCAGCUUGUUGGUGGGGUAGUGGCUUACCAAGGCUUUGACGGGUAGCCGGCCUGAGAGGGUGAACGGCCACAUUGGGACUGAGAUACGGACCAGACUCCUACGGGAGGCAGCAGUGGGGAAUAUUGCACAAUGGGCGGAAGCCUGAUGCAGAAACGCCGCGUGCGGGAUGACGGCCUUCGGGUUGUAAACCGCUUUCGCCUGUGACGAAGCGUGAGUGACGGUAAUGGGUAAAGAAGCACCGGCUAACUACGUG
Molecule: ribosomal RNA, 468 nt
Filed under: uncultured bacterium
Lineage: Bacteria
Description: partial 16S ribosomal RNA
Rfam family: Bacterial small subunit ribosomal RNA
Source: RNAcentral